AGAGUUUGAUCCUGGCUCAGCCUGAACGCUGGCGGCGUGGCUAAGACAUGCAAGUCGCACGGGGUAGCAAUACCCAGUGGCGAACGGGUGAGUAAUGAAUCGCUAAUGUACCCCGGACUCUGGGAUAGCUGCCCGAAAGGGCAGGUAAUACCAGAUGAGACCACGGUCAGGCAUCUGAUCGUGCUCAAAGGUCCGCCGGUCUGGGAGCAGGCGAUUUCGUAUCAGCUAGUUGGUGAGGUAACGGCUCACCAAGGCGACGACGCGUAGCCGGACUGAGAGGUUGGCCGGCCACAUUGGGACUGAGACACUGCCCAGACUCCUACGGGGGGCUGCAGUAACGAAUCUUCCGCAAUGCACGAAAGUGUGACGGAGCGACGCCGCGUGUAGGACGAAGCCCUUCGGGGUGUAAACUACUGUCAGGGGUUAGAAAGUUCUGAUCAACCCCAGAGGAAGGCACGGCUAACUCUGUGCCAGCAGCCGCGGUAAGACAGAGGUGCCAAGCGUUAGGCGGAAUCACUGGGCUUAAAGCGUGUGUAGGCGGAUUUGUAAGUACCUUGUGAAAUCCCACGGCUCAACCGUGGAACUGCUCGGUAUACUGCUCAUCUUGAGCCACUUAGGGGCUACCGGAACAAAUGGUGGAGCGGUGAAAUGCGUAGAUAUCAUUUGGAACGCCAAUGGUGAAAACAGGUAGCUGGGAGUGUGCUGACGCUGAGACACGAAAGCCAGGGGAGCGAACGGGAUUAGAUACCCCCGUAGUCC
This 759-nucleotide ribosomal RNA is filed under the name uncultured Planctomycetaceae bacterium. RNAcentral's name for it is "bacterial SSU rRNA". It matches the Rfam family "Bacterial small subunit ribosomal RNA", at positions 8 to 796 of the family's 1533-position model. Lineage: Bacteria; Pseudomonadati; Planctomycetota; Planctomycetia; Planctomycetales; Planctomycetaceae. The record is from RNAcentral.